UGUCUAGUGUUCCUGCUCACCUACCGC
Molecule: non-coding RNA, 27 nt
Filed under: Mus musculus (house mouse)
Lineage: Eukaryota; Metazoa; Chordata; Mammalia; Rodentia; Muridae
Source: RNAcentral